Molecule: ribosomal RNA, 431 nt
Filed under: uncultured bacterium
Lineage: Bacteria
Description: bacterial SSU rRNA
Rfam family: Bacterial small subunit ribosomal RNA
Source: RNAcentral
UCGAGGAUCUUCGGCAAUGGGCGCAAGCCUGACCGAGCGACGCCGCGUGCGCGAUGAAGGCCUUCGGGUUGUAAAGCGCUGUCGAGGGGGAGGAAGCCGCAAGGUUGACCUAUCCCUGGAGGAAGCACGGGCUAAGUUCGUGCCAGCAGCCGCGGUAAGACGAACCGUGCAAACGUUGUUCGGAAUCACUGGGCUUAAAGGGCGCGUAGGCGGGUUCUCCAGUCCGGGGUGAAAUCUUUCGGCUUAACCGGAAAAGGGCCUUGGAUACUGAGAGUCUUGAGGGAGGUAGGGGCAGUGGGAACUUCCGGUGGAGCGGUGAAAUGCGUUGAUAUCGGAAGGAACGCCGGUGGCGAAAGCGCACUGCUGGAUCUCUGCUGACGCUGAGGCGCGAAAGCCAGGGGAGCGAACGGGAUUAGAUACCCCCGUAGUCC